RNAcentral lists this ribosomal RNA (591 nucleotides) under uncultured bacterium. Its description in RNAcentral is "bacterial SSU rRNA". It matches the Rfam family "Bacterial small subunit ribosomal RNA", at positions 338 to 944 of the family's 1533-position model. The record is from RNAcentral.
CCUACGGGAGGCAGCAGUGGGGAAUCUUGCGCAAUGGGCGAAAGCCUGACGCAGCAACGCCGCGUGCGGGAAGAAGGCUUUCGGGCUGUAAACCGCUUUCAGCAGGAACGAAAAUGACGGUACCUGCAGAAGAAGGAGCGGCCAACUAUGUGCCAGCAGCCGCGGUGAUACAUAGGCUUCAAGCGUUGUCCGGAUUUAUUGGGCGUAAAGAGUUCGUAGGCGGUCAAGUAAGUCGGGUGUGAAAAUUCUGGGCUCAACCCAGAGACGCCACCCGAUACUGCUUAACUUGAGUUCGAUAGGGGAGUGGGGAAUUCCUAGUGUAGCGGUGAAAUGCGCAGAUAUUAGGAGGAACACCGGUGGCGAAGGCGCCACUCUGGAUCGAUACUGACGCUGAGGAACGAAAGCAUGGGUAGCAAACAGGAUUAGAUACCCUGGUAGUCCAUGCCGUAAACGGUGGGCACUAGGUGUGGGUUUCUAUUAACGAAAUCCGCGCCGUCGCUAACGCAUUAAGUGCCCCGCCUGGGGAGUACGGUCGCAAGCUAAAACUCAAAGGAAUUGAACGGNUGAGCGUGCGAGCGCGACGAGGAGAGG